UGGGGAAUCUUGCGCAAUGCGCGACAGCGUGACGCAGCAACACCGCGUGGGGGAAGAAGGCCUUCGGGUUGUAAACCCCUUUCAGGAGGGACGAAGGCCGGCCGGUGAACAGCCGUGCCGGUUGACGGUACCUCCACAAGAAGCCCCGGCUAACUACGUGCCAGCAGCCGCGGUAAUACGUAGGGGGCGAGCGUUGUCCGGAAUCAUUGGGCGUAAAGCGCGCGUAGGCGGCCCGAUAAGUCCGCUGUGAAAGUCAGUGGCUCAACCACUGAAUGCCGGUGGAUACUGUCGGGCUAGAGUCCGGAAGAGGCAAGUGGAAUUCCUGGUGUAGCGGUGGAAUGCGCAGAUAUCAGGAGGAACACCAAUAGCGAAGGCAGCUUGCUGGGACGGUACUGACGCUAAGGCGCGAAAGCGUGGGGAGCGAACAGGAUUAGAUACCCCCGUAGUCC
Molecule: ribosomal RNA, 449 nt
Filed under: uncultured prokaryote
Description: bacterial SSU rRNA
Rfam family: Bacterial small subunit ribosomal RNA
Source: RNAcentral